GUUUUAGUAGUUUAAAUAAAACACUGGUCUUGUAAAUCAGAAAUAAGAUAUACUUCUAAAACU
This 63-nucleotide transfer RNA is filed under the name Pseudorhynchus acuminatus. Its description in RNAcentral is "tRNA-Thr". It matches the Rfam family "tRNA". Rfam says of the family: Transfer RNA (tRNA) molecules are approximately 80 nucleotides in length. Their secondary structure includes four short double-helical elements and three loops (D, anti-codon, and T loops). Lineage: Eukaryota; Metazoa; Arthropoda; Insecta; Orthoptera; Tettigoniidae. The record is from RNAcentral.